This 443-nucleotide ribosomal RNA is filed under the name uncultured bacterium. RNAcentral describes it as "partial 16S ribosomal RNA". It matches the Rfam family "Bacterial small subunit ribosomal RNA", at positions 338 to 795 of the family's 1533-position model. The record is from RNAcentral.
CCUACGGGAUGCAGCAGUGGGGGAUAUUGGACAAUGGGGGGAACCCUGAUCCAGCGACGCCGCGUGAGUGAAGAAGUAUUUCGGUAUGUAAAGCUCUGUCAGCAGGGAAGAAAGAAAUGACGGUACCUGACCAAGAAGCCCCGGCUAACUACGUGCCAGCAGCCGCGGUAAUACGUAGGGGGCAAGCGUUAUCCGGACUUACUGGGUGUAAAGGGAGCGUAGACGGUUAAGUAAGUCUGGAGUGAAAGGCCGGGGCCCAACCCCGGGACUGCUCUGGAAACUAUUUAACUUGAGUGCAGGAGAGGUAAGCGGAAUUGCUAGUGUAGCGGUGAAAUGCGUAGAUAUUAGGAGGAACACCAGUGGCGAAGGCGACCUGCUAGAACAUAACUGACGCUGAUGCGCGAAAGCGUGGGGAGCAAACAGGAUUAGAUACCCGGGUAGUC